GCGGUCAUAGCUCAACGGGAGAGCAUCGCCUUGCCGAGGCGACGAUCCGAGUUCGACCCUCGGUGGCCGCUCCA
This 74-nucleotide transfer RNA is filed under the name Phytohabitans houttuyneae. Its description in RNAcentral is "tRNA-Gly". It matches the Rfam family "tRNA". From Rfam's summary of the family: Transfer RNA (tRNA) molecules are approximately 80 nucleotides in length. Lineage: Bacteria; Bacillati; Actinomycetota; Actinomycetes; Micromonosporales; Micromonosporaceae. The record is from RNAcentral.